CAGACAAAUCAACCAAAGCCAGCAGCAAACCAGGCCCUGCCCAAACACCCAAAGAAACCCUCUCUACUGCAGCGUCAAAAUGGCCCAACCCAAACAGCCAUAGCACAGUGCACCUAAAGGCCUAACCCAACCAGUAGAAAUAUAAAUCUUCUCACUGCAGCAGAGCAAGACAUUCACAAUGACAAACAAAACCUAACUACCAACUCCACAUUAAAUGACCACACUACACCAUACAUGUUAUUAAGUGCAAAGACUUUAAUUGCAAUUCACACAGGCAAAAGGAUGUUCUUGAACAUUCGUUGUUAAAGGUUACGUCAGCAAUGCAAUUGCAGAUACUUGAAAUGAUUAGAGCUGUAAAAUACCUUUGCAAAUUUUCUGCUAGAAACCGAAAGGGAUACUUUCCAAAAGACUGGUACAUGAUGAAUAAGCACUGCAGUUAAUCUACGGAUAUACUUUCCUCCAAGAGCAUCAACUUAUUCACCUGAAAAUCAUAGUAAACUCAAUAAAAAUUUGCUAAAUUAUAAAAUAAAAUAAAAUAAAAUUUCAAAUUAUACAAAGGAAAAAAAACUAAAUUUCAAAUCAUAAUUUCAAAUUGUCUAUCUGGCCAUUCCCAUUCCCAAUCUUUGUUAGAUAUGUGGUGUGAUCUAGCAGCCAAGCUAACUGUAUUAACAGAUUUUUGAUACUCUCCUGGAUUUUGUAACCAAAAGGUUCCUCAACAUCAGAUUUAACUCAACAAAACCUUGAAAUCAUGACAGAAAAGCAAUUAAAUUCCAAUACAAAAGGUGAAACGAAGGAGGAACCCCCCCCAGAUAUUACUAGCCUAACUGAAACUUCUUACCAGACAAGCUACCAUCAAAGCACGGCUUCUUCCCCCAAGAGAAUCCUGCAAUAUCCGUGUCAAUUUGCUUUCUCUAUAAGGCACUCUAGAUCUGUUGUUAUUCAGUGCAUAAAUAACAUUUGACAAGGCAAAUAGAGACUGAUUUAUCUUGGCACUCUCCUGGAGGCGAAUGCCUUCAUUGCAAGUCCUUCUGUUAUCUUCGUUACCUAAUUAUAUCAAAUAUAAAGUUCAGACUGCGCAAAAGUCUACAAUUAACCUCUGGAUUCAAUUAUGUAAUUGAAUGUGAAAACUGUACAAGUUCUAAAAGACUGUGAGGAACCUGCUAAAUCUAUGACGUUAAGCUUUCCCAUCACAACAUUCCCUGAGCUAUCAUCACUAGGUGUGGAAACACAAACAACAAGCACCCCGUGGCUCCUACUAGAAACAUCGUUUAUACCCGUGUGUGCAACCUUCCGCCUCUGAAUUGCACAAGAAAAUGCCUCAUGAAAUUCAUGCAUCGAAUUGAUUGAAACUCGAGCCAGUCCCUUGAGAUGAAUCUGCCCAUCUUUGUCAUCCAGCACCGCGAUUUCUUUUGUUUUGGGUUCCAACAAAUCAUAACAUCUAUCCAUGUAGACCUCAUAGUAGGACAUCUCAGCCACACUCCCCGUACUCUGGCACAUAGACAGGAUGUUUGACAUGGCCAGAUGCACCAGACCUGGAAGUUCAUUGCCACCCUGCAGUAUCAUCCAUCCUCUAAAUAAUUUCAUGNNNNNNNNNNNNNNNNNNNNNNNNNNNNNNNNNNNNNNNNNNNNNNNNNNNNNNNNNNNNNNNNNNNNNNNNNNNNNNNNNNNNNNNNNNNNNNNNNNNNACAAACUCAAAAACUAUAAAACUACACAAAAAUUAUUUUUAAAAAGAGGAAAAACAAACCAAUCAGCUAGAGUCUUUAAAAAACGAAUCAACCAGCAGAAAUAUAAAUCUUCUCAUUGCAGCAGAGCAAGACAUUCACAAUGACAAACAAAACCUAACUGCCAACUCCACAUUAAAUGACCACUACACCAUACAUGCUAUUAAGUGCAAAGACUUUAAUUGCAAUUCACACAGGUAGAAGGAAGUUCUUGAACAUUCGUUGUUAAAGGUUACGUCAGCAAUGCAAUUGCAGAUACUUGAAAUGAUUAGAGCUGUAAAAUACCUUUGCAAAUUUUCCGCUAGAAACCGAAAGAGCUACUUUCCAGAAGACUGGUACAUGAUGAAUAAGCACUGCAGUUAAUCUGCGGAUAUACUUUCCUCUAAGAGCAUCAACUUCUUCACCUGAAAAUCAUAGUAAACUCAAUGAAAAUUUGCUAAAUUAUAAAAUAAAAUUUCAAAUUAUACAAAGGACAAAAAACUAAAUUUCAAAUCAUAAUUUCAAAUUGUCUGUCUGGCCAUUCCCAUUCCCAAUCUUUGUUAGAUAUGUGGCGUGAUCUAGCAGCCAAGCUAACUGUAUAAACAGAUUCUUGAUACUCUCCUGGAUUCUGUAACCAAAAAGUUCCUCAACAUCAGAUUUUAACUCAACAAAAC
RNAcentral lists this long non-coding RNA (2374 nucleotides) under Panax ginseng (ginseng). Its description in RNAcentral is "long non-coding RNA (PGIN_LNC006272)". The record is from RNAcentral. Lineage: Eukaryota; Viridiplantae; Streptophyta; Magnoliopsida; Apiales; Araliaceae.